AGAGUUUGAUCCUGGCUCAGAUUGAACGCUGGCGGCAGGCCUAACACAUGCAAGUCGAGCGGAUGAGCAGAAUGGAGCUUGCUCUGAUUCAGCAGCGGCGGACGGGUGAGUAAUGCCUAGGAACCUGCCUGGUAGUGGGGGACAACGUUUCGAAAGGAACGCUAAUACCGCAUACGUCCUACGGGAGAAAGUGGGGGAUCUUCGGACCUCACGCUAUCAGAUGAGCCUAGGUCGGAUUAGCUAGUUGGUGNGGUAANGGCNNACCAAGGCGACGAUCCGUAACUGGUCUGAGAGGAUGAUCAGUCACACUGGAACUGAGACACGGUCCAGACUCCUACGGGAGGCAGCAGUGGGGAAUAUUGGACAAUGGGCGAAAGCCUGAUCCAGCCAUGCCGCGUGUGUGAAGAAGGUCUUCGNAUUGUAAAGCACUUUAAGUUGGGAGGAAGGGCAGUAAGUUAAUACUUUGCUGUUUUGACGUUACCGA
Molecule: ribosomal RNA, 484 nt
Filed under: Stutzerimonas stutzeri
Lineage: Bacteria; Pseudomonadati; Pseudomonadota; Gammaproteobacteria; Pseudomonadales; Pseudomonadaceae
Description: bacterial SSU rRNA
Rfam family: Bacterial small subunit ribosomal RNA
Source: RNAcentral